Molecule: ribosomal RNA, 376 nt
Filed under: uncultured Campylobacterota bacterium
Lineage: Bacteria; Pseudomonadati; Campylobacterota
Description: bacterial SSU rRNA
Rfam family: Bacterial small subunit ribosomal RNA
Source: RNAcentral
UAAUACGGAGGGUGCAAGCGUUACUCGGAAUCACUGGGCGUAAAGGACGCGUAGGCGGGAUGCCAAGUCUGAUGUGAAAUCCUAUGGCUCAACCAUAGAACUGCAUUGGAAACUGGUAACCUAGAGUAUGGGAGGGGGAGAUGGAAUUAGUGGUGUAGGGGUAAAAUCCGUAGAUAUCACUAGGAAUACCUAAAGCGAAGGCGAUCUCCUGGAACAAUACUGACGCUAAGGCGUGAAAGCGUGGGGAGCAAACGGGAUUAGAUACCCCGGUAGUCCACGCCCUAAACGAUGUUCACUAGUCGUCGGAAAGCUUGUCUUUUCGGUGAUGCACUUAACAGAUUAAGUGAACCGCCUGGGGAGUACGGUCGCAAGAUUA